AAAGUAUAAAAUUGAGAAUGGAAAUGGGGAAUGUGCCAAAGAGACAACAACCCGACCAUAGAAAAAAAAAACAACAGCAGAAGGUCACCAACAGGUCUUCAAUGUAGCGAGAAAUUCCCGCACCCGGAGGCGUCCUUCAACUGGCCCCUAAACAAAUAUAUACUAGUUCAGUGAUAAUGAACGCCAUACUAAUUUCCAAAUUGUACACAAGAAACUAAAAUUAAAAUAAUACAAGACUAACAAAGGCCAGAGGCUCCUGGCUUGGGACAGGCGCAAAAAUGCGGCGGGGUUAAACAUGUUUGUGAGAUCUCAACCCUCCCCCUAUAUCUCUAGCCAAUGUAGAAAAGUAAACGCAUAAC
This 359-nucleotide long non-coding RNA is filed under the name Mytilus galloprovincialis (Mediterranean mussel). The record is from RNAcentral. Lineage: Eukaryota; Metazoa; Mollusca; Bivalvia; Mytilida; Mytilidae.